UGAAUUUAAGCAUAUUAAUGAGGGGAGGAAAAGAAACUAACAAGGAUUUUCUUAGUAGCGGCGAGCGAAAAGAAAAUAGUUCAGCACUAAGUCACUUUGUCUUUAUGGCAAAUGUGAGAUGCAGUGUAUGGAAUGUCAAAUUUCUAAUAUGAGAAAUUAACGAUUUAAGUCCUUCUUAAAUGAGGCCAUUUACCCAAAGAGGGUGCCAGGCCCGUAUAACGUUAAUGAUUAUUAGAUGGCAUUUCCAAAGAGUCGUGUUGCUUGAUAGUGCAGCACUAAGUGGGUGGUAAACUCCAUCUAAAACUAAAUAUAACCAUGAGACCGAUAGUAAACAAGUACCGUGAGGGAAAGUUGAAAAGAACUCUGAAUAGAGAGUUAAAUAGUACGUGAAACUGCUUAGAGGUUAAGCCCGAUGAACCUGAAUAUCCGUUAUGGAAAAUUCAUCAUUAUGAUUUUAAUAUUUAUAAUAUUAUAAUAAUGGUGUGCAUUUUUUCUAUAAAGGACAUUGUAAUCUAUUAACAGUUUAUUCAAAUUAUUUUGCUUGCAUUUUAAUAUCGAAUAAAUGCUUUUGAUUUGAUAAAGUGUUGAUAGAUUUAUUAUAUACAGUGCUUAAAUAUUUAUAUUUUAUAAUAGCAUAUUAAUCAAUGAUUUUUAUGUUCAUUAUAUGCACUUGUAUGAUUAACAAUGCGAAAGAUUCAGGAUACCUUCGGGACCCGUCUUGAAACACGGACCAAGGAGUCUAACAUAUUUGCAAGUUAUUGGGAAUAAAAACCUAAUAGCGAAAUUAACAUAACUUUUAAUGGGAUUAGUUUUUAGCCUAUUUAGUCUAUUAAUUCAAUCCCGGGGCGUUCUAUACAGUUAUGUAUAAUAAUAUUUAUAUUAUUUAUACCUCUAACUAGAGCGUACCUUGAGCAUAUAUGCUGUGACCCGAAAGAUGGUGAACUAUACUUGAUCAGGUUGAAGUCAGGGGAAACCCUGAUGGAAGACCGAAACAGUUCUGACGUGCAAAUCGAUUGUCAGAAUUGAGUAUAGGGGCGAAAGACCAAUCGAACCAUCUAGUAGCUGGUUCCCUCCGAAGUUUCCCUCAGGAUAGCUGGUGCAUUUAAAAAUUAUGUAAAAUAAUCUUAUCUGGUAAAGCGAAUGAUUAGAGGCCUUAGGGUCGAAACGAUCUUAACCUAUUCUCAAACUUUAAAUGGGUAAGAACCUCACCUUUCUUGGUAUGAAGGUUGUGGUUGUGAUAUAAUGUGCCCAGUGGGCCACUUUUGGUAAGCAGAACUGGCGCUGUGGGAUGAACCAAACGUAAUGUUACGGUGCCCAAAUUAACAACUCAUGCAGAUACCAUGAAAGGCGUUGGUUGCUUAAAACAGCAGGACGGUGGACAUGGAAGUCGUAAUCCGCUAAGGAGUGUGUAAAGGUGUGAACAGUGGUUGAUCACGAGUUAGUCGGUCCUAAGUUUAAGGCGAAAGCCGAAAAUUUUCAAGUUAUAAUGAAAAAUAAUUAAACACUUGAAUAAUUUUGAACGAAAGGGAAUACGGUUCCAAUUCCGUAACCUGUUGAGUAUCCGUUUGUUAUUAAAUAUGGGCCUUGUGCUCAUCCUGGCAACAGGAACGACCAUAAAGAAGCCGUCGAGAGGUAUCGGAAGAGUUUUCUUUUCUGUUUUAUAGUCGUACUACCAUGGAAGUCUUUCGAAGAGAGAUAUGGUAGAUGGACUAGAAGAGCAUGACAUUUACUGUUGUGUCGAUAUUUUCUCCUCGGACCUUGAAAAUUUAUGGUGGGGUCACGCAAACUUCUCAACAGGCCGUACCAAUAUCCGCAGCUGGUCUCCAAGGA
This 1830-nucleotide ribosomal RNA is filed under the name Lucilia papuensis. RNAcentral describes it as "eukaryotic LSU rRNA". It matches the Rfam family "Eukaryotic large subunit ribosomal RNA", at positions 29 to 1873 of the family's 3401-position model. Lineage: Eukaryota; Metazoa; Arthropoda; Insecta; Diptera; Calliphoridae. The record is from RNAcentral.